RNAcentral lists this ribosomal RNA (405 nucleotides) under uncultured bacterium. RNAcentral's name for it is "bacterial SSU rRNA". It matches the Rfam family "Bacterial small subunit ribosomal RNA", at positions 354 to 775 of the family's 1533-position model. The record is from RNAcentral.
CUGAGGGAUAUUGCACAAUGGGCGAAAGCCUGAUGCAGCGACGCCGCGUGGGUGACGAAGUCCUUCGGGAUGUAAAGCCCUUUUCUGGGGGAAGAGAACGGACGGUACCCCAGGAAUAAGCCCCGGCUAACUACGUGCCAGCAGCCGCGGUAAUACGUAGGGGGCAAGCGUUGUCCGGAAUUACUGGGCGUAAAGCGCGUGUAGGCGGGACGACAAGUCCGGCGUGAAAGGCUUGGGCUCAACCCAAGAUGGCCGUUGGAAACUGUCGUUCUUGAGGGUCGAAGAGGAGAGUGGAAUUCCUGGUGUAGCGGUGAAAUGCGUAGAGAUCAGGAGGAACACCCAUGGCGAAGGCAGCUCUCUGGUCGACCUCUGACGCUGAGACGCGAAAGCGUGGGGAGCGAACGG